UAGGGAAUCUUCCGCAAUGGACGAAAGUCUGACGGAGCAACGCCGCGUGAGCGAAGAAGGCCUUCGGGUCGUAAAGCUCUGUUGUUAGGGAAGAACAAGUACGAGAGUAACUGCUCGUACCUUGACGGUACCUAACCAGAAAGCCACGGCUAACUACAUGCCAGCAGCCGCGGUAAUACGUAGGUGGCAAGCGUUGUCCGGAAUUAUUGGGCGUAAAGCGCGCGCAGGCGGUCCUUUAAGUCUGAUGUGAAAGCCCACGGCUCAACCGUGGAGGGUCAUUGGAAACUGGGGGACUUGAGUGCAGAAGAGAAGAGUGGAAUUCCACGUGUAGCGGUGAAAUGCGUAGAGAUGUGGAGGAACACCAGUGGCGAAGGCGACUCUUUGGUCUGUAACUGACGCUGAGGCGCGAAAGCGUGGGGAGCGAAACAGGAUUAGAUACCCUGGUAGUCCACGCCGUAAACGAUGAGUGCUAAGUGUAGA
Molecule: ribosomal RNA, 480 nt
Filed under: uncultured Bacillota bacterium
Lineage: Bacteria; Bacillati; Bacillota
Description: bacterial SSU rRNA
Rfam family: Bacterial small subunit ribosomal RNA
Source: RNAcentral